GUUCCCUCUCUCGAAUCCUUGCUCCCUGGGUGAGUGUGCUCUCAGAAUGCAACGUACCUAGGCAAGGAUUCCAGAGGGGGAGC
Molecule: non-coding RNA, 83 nt
Organism: Erinaceus europaeus (western European hedgehog)
Lineage: Eukaryota; Metazoa; Chordata; Mammalia; Eulipotyphla; Erinaceidae
Source: Rfam